This is a non-coding RNA of Danio rerio (zebrafish), 464 nucleotides long. NCBI's taxonomy places the organism in Eukaryota, Metazoa, Chordata, Actinopteri, Cypriniformes, Danionidae. The record is from Ensembl.
AAUCAAAGAAUUAUUUGUAUUGGUCAUGUAAGGGUCAUAUACCAACUGAACUUCUACUGUUGUGUGUGAGUGCUGUGCGUAUGUAACAGCAUUUUUGCAGAAGUAGAUAGAUGCGGGUCCAAAAUUAAAUUCAGCUCUGCAGAAACUUCCUGUCUGAAGAGAGGUGUUAAAACUGAACACAGAACACAGAAAGUUGUAUGCUUUUUUUGUUGUGCAGAGAAUUCGCAGAAAAAGAGGAAGUAUGUCUAAGGUGCGGCCAAUGGAGGACUGAACAAUUACUGACAAAUGACGUUACACCAAAACUCCACCUGUUAAUAUCAGUUGUGUAUAUAUGCUGGAGUCCAGAAAUGUAUGUUAGUUGUGAACCUCUUGAAUGUAAUUCUUGUAUUGCAUUGGGGUAACCCAGAACUCUGUCAUCCAAUUAUUCAUUUGUAUCUAAUAAAUUACUAAUAUUUUUGGCAUUA